GUGAGGAAUAUUGGACAAUGGGCGCAAGCCUGAUCCAGCCAUGCCGCGUGAGUGAUGAAGGCCUUAGGGUUGUAAAGCUCUUUCAGUGGGGACGAUAAUGACGGUACCCACAGAAGAAGCCCCGGCUAACUUCGUGCCAGCAGCCGCGGUAAUACGAAGGGGGCUAGCGUUGUUCGGAUUUACUGGGCGUAAAGCGCACGUAGGCGGAUCGUUAAGUCGGGGGUGAAAUCCUGGAGCUCAACUCCAGAACUGCCUUCGAUACUGGCGAUCUUGAGUCCGGAAGAGGUGAGUGGAACUCCUAGUGUAGAGGUGGAAUUCGUAGAUAUUAGGAAGAACACCAGUGGCGAAGGCGGCUCACUGGUCCGGUACUGACGCUGAGGUGCGAAAGCGUGGGGAGCAAACAGGAUUAGAUACCCGAGUAGUCC
This 425-nucleotide ribosomal RNA is filed under the name uncultured bacterium. RNAcentral describes it as "partial 16S ribosomal RNA". It matches the Rfam family "Bacterial small subunit ribosomal RNA", at positions 354 to 796 of the family's 1533-position model. The record is from RNAcentral.